GAUUGAACGCUGGCGGCAGGCCUAACACAUGCAAGUCGAGCGGAAACGACUUAACUGAACCUUCGGGGAAUGUUAAGGGCGUCGAGCGGCGGACGGGUGAGUAAUGCCUAGGAAAUUGCCCUGAUGUGGGGGAUAACCAUUGGAAACGAUGGCUAAUACCGCAUAAUGCCUACGGGCCAAAGAGGGGGACCUUCGGGCCUCUCGCGUCAGGAUAUGCCUAGGUGGGAUUAGCUAGUUGGUGAGGUAAUGGCUCACCAAGGCGACGAUCCCUAGCUGGUCUGAGAGGAUGAUCAGCCACACUGGAACUGAGACACGGUCCAGACUCCUACGGGAGGCAGCAGUGGGGAAUAUUGCACAAUGGGCGCAAGCCUGAUGCAGCCAUGCCGCGUGUGUGAAGAAGGCCUUCGGGUUGUAAAGCACUUUCAGUCGUGAGGAAGGUAGUGUAGUUAAUAGCUGCAUUAUUUGACGUUAGCGACAGAAGAAGCACCGGCUAACUCCGUGCCAGCAGCCG
RNAcentral lists this ribosomal RNA (511 nucleotides) under uncultured bacterium. RNAcentral describes it as "bacterial SSU rRNA". It matches the Rfam family "Bacterial small subunit ribosomal RNA", at positions 27 to 517 of the family's 1533-position model. The record is from RNAcentral.